GACGAACGCUGGCGGCGUGCUUAACACAUGCAAGUCGAACGGAAAGGCCCUGCUUUUUUGGGGUGCUCGAGUGGCGAACGGGUGAGUAACACGUGAGUAACCUGCCCUUGACUUUGGGAUAACUUCAGGAAACUGGGGCUACUACCGUAUAGGAGCCCCUGCUGCAUGGUGGGGGUUGGAAAUUUUCGGCGGUUGGGGAUGGACUCGCGGCUUAUCAGCUUGCUGGUGGGGUAGGGGCUUACCAAGGCUUGGACGGGUAGCCGGCCUGAGAGGGUGACCGGCGACAUUGGGACUGAGAUACGGACCAGACUCGUACGGGAGGCAGCAGUGGGGAAUAUUGCCCAAUGGGCGGAAGCCUGAUGCAGAAACGCCGCGUGCGGGAUGACGGCCUUCGGGUUGUAAACAGCUUUAGCCUGUGACGAAGCGUGAGUGACGGUAAUGGGUAAAGAAGCACCGGCUAACUACGUG
Molecule: ribosomal RNA, 468 nt
Filed under: uncultured bacterium
Lineage: Bacteria
Description: partial 16S ribosomal RNA
Rfam family: Bacterial small subunit ribosomal RNA
Source: RNAcentral